Molecule: long non-coding RNA, 1505 nt
Organism: Mustela erminea (ermine)
Lineage: Eukaryota; Metazoa; Chordata; Mammalia; Carnivora; Mustelidae
Exons: 3
Source: RefSeq, a predicted model, not a curated record
GCCUCGUACUGCGGGCUGGGAGCUCCCCCACUCGCCCGGACGGGGUUUGCCCGGAGGAAGCGGCUGAGACCGCUGGGCCGAACGGCGAUUCUCGGCACCGGCUGGGUGAGGUGGCCCGGAGUGUUCGGAAAAGUCCCGCGGUGAGAACUGUGAGGAGAAUAAAUGAGGCAAAGCCCUGAAUGCCGGGAGCCUUCCCUGGGUCUCGCCAUGUAUGCUCCAGGAAACCCUCUCCACGCUCAGCUCCUAGUUUGGAGCUGGAAUUUGUGAAACUUCAAAAAAUUAAAUAUAAAACCCGAAUCUAGAAUGUGCCAGGAGACCGGGCAUCCCAACCCCCACCUCAGCCGGUUUGCGCCGCCCCGCCGGCUUGCCCCGAGGCUGCCUGAGAAGAACUUUCCGAUUCCUCUGUGGGAGUGAAGAGGAAACGAGUAGAGAGGGGGCGUGCACACGAGCCUCCGGCCGCGCCACAUUCUCCUGCCGCUUUCGAGCUGGGGACAGGGUCCAGCUACACCACAGGCCUCCCCUCGGGUCGUGAAGGGCCUUUGCUGCUGGGCACGGGCGCUUCUUUUCCUCUCUGGAGCUUACAUUCAUUUCAACAAAGCUUUACUGGGCAUUUCCUUUGCACCAGGCACUGGGCGAGGGGCUGGACACGGCGACUUCUUCAAGGACCUCCCCGACAAGGUGGCUGCAGUCCAGUGGGGGACGGGAGAGGUAGCGACAGGCAAAAACCCACGUUGGAAAGUAAUGGCUGCGAGGAGAGGCUCCAGGGGUUGGGGGGAAUUCAGCAGAGCCAUACUGCAUUUGAAAAGGGGCUGGAGAAGCUUCCCUGGAAGCUCUGGAGCUCGAACUCGACCUUGCGACGUGGGAAGGUUGUAGAGGGUGUGGGACCGAAGGAGCCCAGGGGGCAAAGUCCAGGCCGAGGGCGCAGUAAGCGGUAAGAAGGCGCAGUGCAAGUUCAGAAAAAGAACACACGGUCCCGGCGGACGCCCGGGGUGUGUGGGUGGAGCGGCCCAAAAGAAUAUUAAAACCCAAAAGGAUCUUCAGAAACACCCUAUGAAGUUCCAACUUGAUUCUGUGAGCAAUGAGUAGCCCAUCCCCAGCCAAGUGCCAAGGCAGGAGUCUUAAGGUUCUAUAACUAACUUUUAAACUAUGAGCAUACAUUAUUUUCAUAAAAAUAAAAAGUUUGAAAAUGCAAAUAACAUUUGGACGUGCAGACAGGAAAUAGAAGACUAUUCUAAGAUAAAUGGCAGAAAUGUGGAGGUGAAAAUCUUCCAGUAAAUGAGAAGAGCAUGACAUGUUGUUGAAGCUCAAGAAAUGCUGGCCAAGGAGUGAAUGAUAAUCUGUGUGCUGUUCCGGGGAGAGCCCUGAGCUGAGAUCCAGAAGAUGUCAAUUCUGGUUGUUAUCUAGAGCUUCCCUUGGACCAAUCACAUACGUUCUCUGGACCUUAUUUUCUCCGUGGGAAGAUGAGGGGAUUGGGUGAUUUAUUAAAUUACUUCUGACUUACGAAU